This is a non-coding RNA of Salmo salar (Atlantic salmon), 54 nucleotides long. NCBI's taxonomy places the organism in Eukaryota, Metazoa, Chordata, Actinopteri, Salmoniformes, Salmonidae. The record is from Rfam.
UGCACUCACUACUGUAAGUCUCUCUGGAUAAGAGCUUCUGCUAAAUGACUCAAA